GGAGAGACACUGAGCUGGAGCAGCUCUCACACACUGAGGAUCGCCUCCACCUCCUACAGAGACUGUGAGACAACUUCAGAGGAGUCUGAAUGAAGAAUUCACUAAAACUCUUAAAGAGAUCAGACAACCAGACACAGUCGAAGUCUUUACUGCUCCGAUGCACUCCAUUGAAAAAUUGGGUGCUGAGCCGCUUGAGGUGAUGGAGGGGAAAAAAGCAGCAGAGAGGCGGGCUGAAGAUCUGGAGCAGAAAAUCACUGAGCUAAACAGGAGAUACAAUGAGGAUCACCUUCACCUCCUACAGCUUUACACAUCCCUGAACCUCUUACUCACCAGCAACUGCAGUGAUUUCAGUGUUGAACCUCAUUUGAGUGAAGAGACUGUGAGGAAAAAUCUGUCUCAACUUCAGAGUCUGAAUGAAAAACUCACUAAAACUCUUCAAAAAAUCAGACAACCAGGUGAGAAACUUAUCUGAAAUAUGUAGUAGAAAGAAUUGUAUAUAAUGCAAUAUGGUUAAUGUGUUCAGUGUAGAGGAUAUAAGGAUAUUUAGAUAUGUUCAUUCUGGAGCUUUAUGUGAAUCUAAUUGAAUAAUAUUAUUUAUUGUUAGUAGACUUAGAAGAACUGAAGAGGAUUUAUCAGCAUAAAGGUACUGUAUGAUUUCUCAUAAUCACACCACAAUGAUAAUGUGUCUUAGUCUGUAAGCUGAUCAGCGAAUGUAUACGUUUGCAAUGUUUGCAUCAAUUUAAAUGAACACUGUUAGCAUGAUCCACACCGGGUCCAUUAUCCCAGCUAACAUAGAACAUUAUGAGAAUGUUUAGCAACAAAAUAAAAAAAACGUUUAUUCUGUAAUGUUACA
RNAcentral lists this long non-coding RNA (853 nucleotides) under Astyanax mexicanus (Mexican tetra). Its description in RNAcentral is "lncRNA (ENSAMXG00005000801.1)". Lineage: Eukaryota; Metazoa; Chordata; Actinopteri; Characiformes; Acestrorhamphidae. The record is from RNAcentral.